UACGAAGGGGGCUAGCGUUGUUCGGAAUCACUGGGCGUAAAGGGCGCGUAGGCGGCUUUAUAAGUCGGGGGUGAAAGCCUGUGGCUCAACCACAGAAUUGCCUUCGAUACUGUAGAGCUUGAGACCGGAAGAGGUAAGUGGAACUGCGAGUGUAGAGGUGAAAUUCGUAGAUAUUCGCAAGAACACCAGUGGCGAAGGCGGCUUACUGGUCCGGUUCUGACGCUGAUGCGCGAAAGCGUGGGGAGCAAACGGG
This 253-nucleotide ribosomal RNA is filed under the name uncultured bacterium. Its description in RNAcentral is "partial 16S ribosomal RNA". It matches the Rfam family "Bacterial small subunit ribosomal RNA", at positions 524 to 776 of the family's 1533-position model. The record is from RNAcentral.